Molecule: ribosomal RNA, 590 nt
Filed under: uncultured Pseudozyma
Lineage: Eukaryota; Fungi; Basidiomycota; Ustilaginomycetes; Ustilaginales; Ustilaginaceae
Description: LSU rRNA
Rfam family: Eukaryotic large subunit ribosomal RNA
Source: RNAcentral
CGGCGAGUGAAGAGGGAAGAGCCCAAGAUUGAAAGCUGGACGUCUUCGGCGUCCGCAUUGUAAUCUCAAGAAGUGUUUUCCGCUUCGGACCAUGCCUAAGUCCCUUGGAAAAGGGCAUCAUAGAGGGUGAUAAUCCCGUACAUGGCAUGGAGCGCCCGAAGCUUUGUGAUACGCUUUCUACGAGUCGAGUUGUUUGGGAAUGCAGCUCAAAAUGGGUGGUAAAUGCCAUCUAAGGCUAAAUAUUGGGGAGAGACCGAUAGCGAACAAGUACAGUGAUGGAAAGAUGAAAAGAACUUUGAAAAGAGAGUUAAACAGUACGUGAAAUUGCCAAAAGGGAAGGGUAGGAGGUCAGAGAUGCGUCUUGGGAUUCAGCCUUGCUUUUGCAUGGUGUUUUUCCCAAGUUGCAGGCCAACGUCGGUUUUGGGCACUGGAGAAGGGUAGGAGGAACGUGGCACCUCUCGGGGUGUGUUAUAGCCUCCUACUGGAUACAGCGACCGAGACCGAGGAACGCAGCGUACUCGUAAGAGCGGGCCUUUUGGCACCUUUACGCUUAGGGCGUUGGCAUAAUGGCCCUCUACCACCCGUCUUGA